UGCGCUAGUCACUGAAAUUACCCAAACACUGGCACUAACUUGACAUUUUCAGAUACAGUAAGUGCUACUUGUUGGGGUAAUUUUAUUGACCUUGAAAAAGUG
This 102-nucleotide microRNA precursor is filed under the name Tetraodon nigroviridis (spotted green pufferfish). RNAcentral describes it as "miRNA (ENSTNIG00000020079.1)". The stretch from base 14 to 85 matches the Rfam family "miR-430 microRNA precursor family". Lineage: Eukaryota; Metazoa; Chordata; Actinopteri; Tetraodontiformes; Tetraodontidae. The record is from RNAcentral.